Molecule: ribosomal RNA, 153 nt
Filed under: Xenopus laevis (African clawed frog)
Lineage: Eukaryota; Metazoa; Chordata; Amphibia; Anura; Pipidae
Description: 5.8S ribosomal RNA
Rfam family: 5.8S ribosomal RNA
About the family: 5.8S ribosomal RNA (5.8S rRNA) is a component of the large subunit of the eukaryotic ribosome. It is transcribed by RNA polymerase I as part of the 45S precursor that also contains 18S and 28S rRNA. Functionally, it is thought that 5.8S rRNA may be involved in ribosome translocation.
Source: Rfam by way of RNAcentral
AACUCUUAUCGGUGGAUCACUCGGCUCAUGCAUCGAUGAAGAACGCAGCUAGCUGCGGGAAUUAGUGUGAAUUGCAGGACACAUUGAUCAUCGACACCUCGAACGCACCUUGCGGCCCGGGUUCCUCCCGGGGCCACGCCUGUCUGAGGGUCG